UACGUAGGGCGCAAGCGUUGUCCGGAAUUAUUGGGCGUAAAGAGCUCGUAGGUGGCUUGUCGCGUCGGGUGUGAAAGCUUGGGGCUUAACUCCAGGUCUGCAUUCGAUACGGGCUGGCUAGAGGUAGGUAGGGGAGAACGGAAUUCCUGGUGUAGCGGUGAAAUGCGCAGAUAUCAGGAGGAACACCGGUGGCGAAGGCGGCUAUCUGGACAGUGACUGACGCUGAGACGCGAAAGCGUGGGGAGCAAACAGG
RNAcentral lists this ribosomal RNA (253 nucleotides) under uncultured bacterium. RNAcentral describes it as "partial 16S ribosomal RNA". It matches the Rfam family "Bacterial small subunit ribosomal RNA", at positions 524 to 776 of the family's 1533-position model. The record is from RNAcentral.